GUGCGCGAGUCAAAGGGCUGGCUAAACCCCAAGGCGAAACGAAAGUGAAAUAUCUUUCAUGGGCUGAUCCGGUUCGUUGUGAGUGACCGAAGUUAGCGGGGUCGUUCGUCGCCGUCUGGUCGAUAUCCUCUUUCGCGGGGGAAGUUGAAGGCGGAUGUUCGGCGGCUCUGCGCUUUGGAAACUCCCCUCGAUUUGCCACCUCAAUAUGUGGACGGCGCAAGCCCGGGGCCCGCAACGUUCCUCUUCGCCGUUAAGGCUUGGCCGGUCGUUUCGCGGCUCCCCCGCCUGAGAGAGAGUGUCUGCACGGCGGCCGUUGUAGAUGACCUUCCUAGUAGGGGGUUAAUCUCUCGUAUCGUCGGAUCGGUACGCGAAGGCAUUGCGUUCUUCGCGUUCCCCUCCGUCGGUGCGAGAACCUUCUUUUAUGGGGGUUGUGGCGGCUUUAAAAGCGGUUCGUGCGUCAUUCAAUCCGAGUUGGUGAAGGGGUGAGUUCGCGCGCGUCGGGCUCGCUGGCGGAGACGGACAGCGGGUUCUUUGAGCGCACAUACUAGGACCCGAAAGAUGGUGAUCUAUGCGUGGCGAGGAUGAAGCCAGGGGAAACCCUGGUGGAAGUCCGUAGCGAUUCUGACGUGCAAAUCGAUCGUCGGAGCUGCGCAUAGGGGCG
Molecule: ribosomal RNA, 661 nt
Filed under: Mongoloniscus koreanus
Lineage: Eukaryota; Metazoa; Arthropoda; Malacostraca; Isopoda; Agnaridae
Description: partial 28S ribosomal RNA
Rfam family: Eukaryotic large subunit ribosomal RNA (bases 549-661)
Source: RNAcentral